RNAcentral lists this ribosomal RNA (2549 nucleotides) under Escherichia coli. RNAcentral describes it as "partial 23S ribosomal RNA". It matches the Rfam family "Bacterial large subunit ribosomal RNA", at positions 408 to 2925 of the family's 2925-position model. The record is from RNAcentral. Lineage: Bacteria; Pseudomonadati; Pseudomonadota; Gammaproteobacteria; Enterobacterales; Enterobacteriaceae.
AUGAGUAGGGCGGGACACGUGGUAUCCUGUCUGAAUAUGGGGGGACCAUCCUCCAAGGCUAAAUACUCCUGACUGACCGAUAGUGAACCAGUACCGUGAGGGAAAGGCGAAAAGAACCCCGGCGAGGGGAGUGAAAAAGAACCUGAAACCGUGUACGUACAAGCAGUGGGAGCCUCUUAAUGGGGUGACUGCGUACCUUUUGUAUAAUGGGUCAGCGACUUAUAUUCUGUAGCAAGGUUAACCGAAUAGGGGAGCCGAAGGGAAACCGAGUCUUAACUGGGCGUUAAGUUGCAGGGUAUAGACCCGAAACCCGGUGAUCUAGCCAUGGGCAGGUUGAAGGUUGGGUAACACUAACUGGAGGACCGAACCGACUAAUGUUGAAAAAUUAGCGGAUGACUUGUGGCUGGGGGUGAAAGGCCAAUCAAACCGGGAGAUAGCUGGUUCUCCCCGAAAGCUAUUUAGGUAGCGCCUCGUGAAUUCAUCUCCGGGGGUAGAGCACUGUUUCGGCAAGGGGGUCAUCCCGACUUACCAACCCGAUGCAAACUGCGAAUACCGGAGAAUGUUAUCACGGGAGACACACGGCGGGUGCUAACGUCCGUCGUGAAGAGGGAAACAACCCAGACCGCCAGCUAAGGUCCCAAAGUCAUGGUUAAGUGGGAAACGAUGUGGGAAGGCCCAGACAGCCAGGAUGUUGGCUUAGAAGCAGCCAUCAUUUAAAGAAAGCGUAAUAGCUCACUGGUCGAGUCGGCCUGCGCGGAAGAUGUAACGGGGCUAAACCAUGCACCGAAGCUGCGGCAGCGACACUAUGUGUUGUUGGGUAGGGGAGCGUUCUGUAAGCCUGUGAAGGUGGCCUGUGAGGGUUGCUGGAGGUAUCAGAAGUGCGAAUGCUGACAUAAGUAACGAUAAAGCGGGUGAAAAGCCCGCUCGCCGGAAGACCAAGGGUUCCUGUCCAACGUUAAUCGGGGCAGGGUGAGUCGACCCCUAAGGCGAGGCCGAAAGGCGUAGUCGAUGGGAAACAGGUUAAUAUUCCUGUACUUGGUGUUACUGCGAAGGGGGGACGGAGAAGGCUAUGUUGGCCGGGCGACGGUUGUCCCGGUUUAAGCGUGUAGGCUGGUUUUCCAGGCAAAUCCGGAAAAUCAAGGCUGAGGCGUGAUGACGAGGCACUACGGUGCUGAAGCGACAAAUGCCCUGCUUCCAGGAAAAGCCUCUAAGCAUCAGGUAACAUUAAAUCGUACCCCAAACCGACACAGGUGGUCAGGUAGAGAAUACCAAGGCGCUUGAGAGAACUCGGGUGAAGGAACUAGGCAAAAUGGUGCCGUAACUUCGGGAGAAGGCACGCUGAUAUGUAGGUGAAGCGACUUGCUCGUGGAGCUGAAAUCAGUCGAAGAUACCAGCUGGCUGCAACUGUUUAUUAAAAACACAGCACUGUGCAAACACGAAAGUGGACGUAUACGGUGUGACGCCUGCCCGGUGCCGGAAGGUUAAUUGAUGGGGUUAGCGGCAACGCGAAGCUCUUGAUCGAAGCCCCGGUAAACGGCGGCCGUAACUAUAACGGUCCUAAGGUAGCGAAAUUCCUUGUCGGGUAAGUUCCGACCUGCACGAAUGGCGUAAUGAUGGCCAGGCUGUCUCCACCCGAGACUCAGUGAAAUUGAACUCGCUGUGAAGAUGCAGUGUACCCGCGGCAAGACGGAAAGACCCCGUGAACCUUUACUAUAGCUUGACACUGAACAUUGAGCCUUGAUGUGUAGGAUAGGUGGGAGGCUUUGAAGUGUGGACGCCAGUCUGCAUGGAGCCGACCUUGAAAUACCACCCUUUAAUGUUUGAUGUUCUAACGUGGGCCCGUAAUCCGGGUUGCGGACAGUGUCUGGUGGGUAGUUUGACUGGGGCGGUCUCCUCCUAAAGAGUAACGGAGGAGCACGAAGGUUGGCUAAUCCUGGUCGGACAUCAGGAGGUUAGUGCAAUGGCAUAAGCCAGCUUGACUGCGAGCGUGACGGCGCGAGCAGGUGCGAAAGCAGGUCAUAGUGAUCCGGUGGUUCUGAAUGGAAGGGCCAUCGCUCAACGGAUAAAAGGUACUCCGGGGAUAACAGGCUGAUACCGCCCAAGAGUUCAUAUCGACGGCGGUGUUUGGCACCUCGAUGUCGGCUCAUCACAUCCUGGGGCUGAAGUAGGUCCCAAGGGUAUGGCUGUUCGCCAUUUAAAGUGGUACGCGAGCUGGGUUUAGAACGUCGUGAGACAGUUCGGUCCCUAUCUGCCGUGGGCGCUGGAGAACUGAGGGGGGCUGCUCCUAGUACGAGAGGACCGGAGUGGACGCAUCACUGGUGUUCGGGUUGUCAUGCCAAUGGCACUGCCCGGUAGCUAAAUGCGGAAGAGAUAAGUGCUGAAAGCAUCUAAGCACGAAACUUGCCCCGAGAUGAGUUCUCCCUGACCCUUUAAGGGUCCUGAAGGAACGUUGAAGACGACGACGUUGAUAGGCCGGGUGUGUAAGCGCAGCGAUGCGUUGAGCUAACCGGUACUAAUGAACCGUGAGGCUUAACCUUACAACGCCGAAG